AUCCUCCUGCCUCAGCCUCCCAAAACGCUGGGAUUACAGGCACGAGCCACCACGGCCAGCCCAUGACUUAUCUUUAAAUCCCAGUAGGUAGCCCAAUGCCUGGCACUUGGUUGGCCCUCAGGAUACUUUUCUUGGAGUAGCCAUAAAUAAGUGGGUGCCCCAGGGAGGUUGGGAUGAGCAAUACUGAGAAGUUUAAGGCACAGUUCUCCUGCCAAAGCGGUUGGUCUCUUUCCACCGUCACCUGGUUUCCCUGGAUCAGCUAUUACAUCUCAUUAAUAUCUUAUAUUUCAUUUUCUUUGUAGUUCCCUUGCAAUGUUUCCCAAUGUGUGUCCUGUGGGACAAUAGUUCAGUGGAAUAUUAAUUAAGUAUUAUAGUGCAAAGGGAUUCUGAGAUCAAGUGAGUUUGGGAAAUAGCAAGUUAAAGAAAAGGAAGCAGGUUUAUUUGCUGAGGGACUUAUCAGAGCCUUUCAUGUGUUCAUGGAUGUUGUUACCAUCCACAAAGGUAACAGGGGCUUUCGUGUUUCCCACACCUUUUUGACCUUGAAAUCAUUAUUUUUUCCCCUUUGAGUAUCUCACAGGACUAGUGUUCUGAGGAGCAGUACACUGAGAAAUGGUCCUCUAGACAGAGAGGAAAUGCUGUCUUCCCCCUUUAUUGGCUAUGUGGGAUUCGUAUAAUUUGCUUAUUUGUCGGAUCCAUUAUUGCUGGGUGUGGGAGAGCAGGCAUGUGUUAGACUGUCCAUCUUCAGAGAGGUUUCCUGCUCUUCCUGUUCGUCCAGUAGUUAUGGGCUGUGAUUGUUAUGGUGAUAGCAGGGAGGCUGCAGACCCCAGAGGGGAUUAGGCAUAUCUGUGUGUAAACUUUGGGCAAUGUCUUUCUUUCAACUGGGCUUGAAUCACAGCAUUGCAUACCCUAAGAAAACAUCAUGAGGUAUAUAAAGUUCCCAUACUCCCAUUAAGUGGCCUGGUUUUCGUCUUUAAGUAUGGUGGGGCUGGUAGGAGUAGAACACGGGAUGAUGUAUCACUUCUCCUGGGUUUCUCAACCUCAGCACGACUGACAUUUGGAUGGGAUCAUUGUUUGUGGGGUCUGUCCUGUGCCUUGUAGGAUAUUUGGCGGCAUCCCUGGCUUCUACCCACUAGAUGUCAGUAGCACGUAUCAUCCCUCCUGCCUCCCCAUUGUGACAACCCAAAAUGUAGGCAGACAUUGCCAAGUGUCCUCUAGGGGACAAAAUCCCUCUCCCAUUGAGAACCACUGCUUUAAGAGAAGAUUACCCAAAGUCUGUGCAAGGCUUUUGGAAUACUCUUGGAAGGAUUUUUAUCAUACUCUUGGAAGAAGGAAGUAGUGCUAUCAUGCUCAAAGCAUGGUCUGAGAGCCUAUAAGACGUGCCAGCUAAUGAAACUCUCCCCUGGGGUGUUUUCGUAACUCAUCCUUAAGGCUCGUAUAUCUGUUGAGUUUCUUGGUUGCAAGUUACAGAAAACCCAAUCCAAAAUGGUCUAAGCCAGAAAAUGAAUUUUUUGGCUGUGGUAACUGAAGAGUCCGACACAGUGCUAACUUUAGGCACAGCUGGAUCCAGGUGCUUAAGCAGUGUUAUCAAGAAACAAGAAUUUUUCCAAAUCUUUGCUCUGAUUUCCUCAUUAUUGAUAUCAUUCUCAGACAGGCUCUUCCCAUGUGGCAGUGAGAAAGCUGCCAGCAGCUCCGGCCUACUCCUCACUAGAACAGAUCUGGUGGAAAGGGAAAGCUUCUCUUCCCUCAUGGUUUGAAUGCAAGUCCUGGAUCUGAUUCCCAUUGGCCUGGGAUACUACGCUAUUCUCAUUAGCUGUGCCGGGUUCACACGCCUGUCCCUGGAGCCUGGGGAGGAGCCAACACCAACGGAACCAUUUGGUGGGGAACAGGAGAGGAAUGGUUCUUUAGAGGCAAACGGGGCAGUUACUUGAAGAGAGGUCAGCGGAUGCUGGUCAGACAAGCACCUCUAUUGCCUCAUUCAUAAAAAUAACUAAACGACAGCCAAUAACGGCAGCUCCCACUUGUCGAACAUGAAUUCUGUACCAGACCCUACCUAUACUGCGUGAUCGCUAAUCACCACCAGCAUCCUGAGAGGCAGCUGUUGUCAACCUAUUUUACAGAUGGGUAAGUGGAGUCUCAGAGGCAGAUGAAAUGACUUGGCUGAAGUCACAGAGUGGGGCAGUGGCUGAGCCACAGACCGGAGGCAUCCUUUUACCUCCUCUAGGACACCCUCUGUAACUGACUUUCUUCCUGCUGCAAUCCAAAAGGUCUCCCAAGGUCGCCUGUUGCUAUUUUGGAAAGAGGUGGACAGAUACUGGAGGGCCACUCUUCAGGCCACUGCCCAAUCUUUUCUUGUCAAUUUGAUGUCAGCUUGUGCCAAUCAUCCCUGAAGGGCCAUUCUGACACAGCAAGUAAGGGAAAGCUUGGCCGGCGUUUUCUGGUUUGGCUCUGUUCUGCCUGCUUGGUCCAUUUUCCUCACCUCCGUUUUUGCCCGUUGCCGCUGUUUUUAUCUUCCAUCCCCCCAGGGAGCCUGCAGAGGGUGCAUUAGUAAUAAAGCUAACAUUUCCAGAGAGAGAGAGAGAUAUCAAGGAAUUUCCAUGACAUGAUUUCAUGAAGUUUUCUCAAAUAUCAUAUCAAGUAGACACUACUAUUAUCCCCAUUUUACAGAUGGAGCAACUGAGGCCUGGAGAGGCUAGAGGACUUGCCCAAGGUUGCCCAGCCAGCAGAUGGGAGAACUGGUGUUUGAAUCCAGGCAGGACCCAUUGCUUUUAUUACGGUACCAAAACUUCAGAAAAUUGCAAACCAGUGGCCUGUGAGUCAAAUCUGGCUAACAGAUAUAUUUUGCUUGGCCCACAUAGUAUUUCAAAACCCAUUUGAACUCAUUGCCAAUGUUUAAAAAUUGAGAACCUGCACAUCAAAAAACAAAAUUUGUUCUUUUCUGCUUCUCUUGAAAAAAAAAAAAUCAGAGAAGAUUGGCACCACUGGGCCUACAUUCCUGCCUGGCAGAGACCGGCUGGAGCUGCAGCUCAGUCCCAGGUGCCUGCUUUGGGUGGGGUGUGUUCCUCCAGCUGGAUGCAGUCCCCACCACUCCCUAAUACCUUCCCAGUGCUGAGGCCGGUGUCAUUUGCUGUGGCUCACUGUGUGUGCUCUGCGGUGUCCCUUGCGCCCCUCCUGGCUUACCUGCCUGGCUCUGGAGGGCACAUGGGCUUGCUGCUCCUCCCCCACAUGCAGGAGCUCCCGCCAGCCUCUGACCACAGUGGUUUGGGGUUGCUGUAAUCUCUCUCCACACAUUCAGUGGAACGGUCUUCUGCUGGUGAAGGUCUGACUUAGGCACUAGAAGAGUUGGACAGAGCCCCAAAUUUUCCUUUCCUCCAGUACCCCAAUCCCACCCCCUCCCACACUUUGGUUUAUUGGUCAGCAAAGGCCACUUUCUUGGCAGUGUUUGUCUUGGGUACACAACCACUUUUUCUUGCUCCCCGCAGAGCCCCCUAACGUUUUCUUCCUAAUCCUCCUCAGGAGAACCAUCACUCGGAUUAUCAUGAAACCCGAGCGUGUGCGCAUGAGAAUCACAGAGUGGCCAAGAGUGAGGACGUUGACACUACACAGACCUGGGGCAGACCCGGCCCUGCUGCUGAGUGGUUGACUGGCCCCAGGUGAGUUCUGUAACUUCCAUGAGCCUCAGGGUCCUCAUCUGCAAGAUGGGAGGAAAGAGGAGAUCACAGGAAUUUUGUGAGGAAUAAAUAAAAGAAUGUAUAGAAAGCACAGAGCCUGUGUCUGGCAUGCAAGACUUGUUGAGUAAAUGUUAACUUUUCCUGUUUUACUGUGAAGUGGCAACAUGAGGUCCUGCACACAGCCAGGGUUCAGUGAAUAUGGCUAAGCCCAGAGUCCUUAUUGGGAGAAAGUGGCCAGAAACCAGGCUCAAACUCCAGUGCCUCAACUUCCUAAGCGUAUGCAGCUUGAAAGAACAUUACACCCCCUCAAAGGGGGUAAAGUCAGUGUGGGGGAUGACACUUCCCUUCAGGUUUGCUGGGGGAUGAGACGCUGCCUGUAAAGUGCUCAGCACAUAGUAGGUGCACAACAAAGUUAUUGUUCAUGUUGAGAACUAGUCUCAUGCCCAGACUGGGCUCACCUCAGAGGGGUCACACACAUUCCUUUUCUUCUGGGAAAUCAAGGUGAACUGGAUGAAUGGCUCAGCACCUUCUCACAUGCAGACCUGCUGGGAGUGGGAGGUGGACCUACGGGGUUCUGCACCAUCUGGAGCUCAUUUCAUGGACAGAAAGGAAACAGAAAGGCAGGCACGCUCUCCUGAGGGCCUACUAUGUCCAGAUGCUUUGCUUAAACAGAGAAUAUUUAUUUCUCAGUCACAAACUCAGGUGUGCAAAAAUGCAACUUUGUGUCCAGAACGCAGUUAACUCUGGUUUCCCACCCACUCCAUGUGCCUCACCACAGGCUGCUUAAUCCAGUUCUCUUCUGGCUGGAACUCAGGGAUUUAAGCUCUGAUUUGGGUUUGUAAUUCAGGUUUCCUCCUCCCUCUCUGGGUGGUGGAGGUGGGAUGCGGGGGAUGGGGGGCUCUCUUCUGGCUCUGCCCCUUCUCUCCAGCCUGGCUCCCUGGGUCUGAUGACUGCUCUACCAAACGGUGGCCUUGACCUCUGUCUGGUGCUGGCCCUGGAGCCCCGUGAGAUGUCAGCCUGGAUGUAGUGGGAGGUCUGCAGGAGCCCCGCUCAGGAAAUGCGGAUCCCUUGAGGCCCUCUGCAGGUUUUCACAGGCGCUGACACCCAGCGCUUUCAUCCUGUGUCCCAGGGUGGGAACAUCUGCAUCCCCAUAUUUCAGGAGUGCCGUUGCCUGUGCACCCACAAGAGGUCUCAUCUUAUCCUGGCAACAGCCUGUAGGGUUGGGAGCAGCUGCGAGCCAUUUGUGCAGGAGUGCCCGGGGAGAUGGUUACGUGCUUCAUCAUUCAAGCUUGCCCUCCCUCUCCUAGGUAGCACUGCCUUGAAACUACUCCUAGCAAGAAACACAGCUUCUGAUCAUGGGAGAACCUAUUUGCAUCACAGUUCACAAACAUGCUUUUAGACACUCUCCACUUCAGUGGAGGAAACAGAGCCCCAGCGAGGGGAAGAGACUUACCCAAGUCACGUAGCUAAGAGGCAAAAUCAGGAUUCAGACUCAGCCUCCCAGCGCUCACUCCACAGUGCCUUGUUGGCCCAGCCCUAGAAGGCCUCCUGGCUGGAGGCCAUUGCCUGAGCCUGGGGAUGACACAUAUGUCCACUGGAUGUCAUGAUUUCUCUACUGAAGCUAGCUGGACCUUCUUGGCAGUGACAUAGGAUUUUCCCCCUUCCUGGGGCAAAGCAGUCUCAUAUGGGACACUCAGGUGGUGGCUCUCCCUCCUUUUGGCUCAAAGACAGGAGGUAAGGCCUGCAUCCUGUUUUCCUAGGGUGGGGAAAGUCUGCACACAGGUGGAUCCACUCUUUCCUGGGGACCUGGGAUCAUUGCAGCCUUCUCCACCCCACAGGCCCCUCCACAGCCUCUGCCCAAAUCCCCUUUCCCGGACUCCAAGUUGUAUCACCUUAGUUAACGCUUCAUUCCCCAGGUGUCUAAGAAAAAAAUGUUCUCCCCAUGCAGUUUCUCCACCUGGGAAACAGGCGGCCUUCUCUCUCUCUACGUCAUCAAGUCAGUGCAGAGCGCAUGGAGCAGCAACGCCCUGCCCAGCUCUGGGCUGCCCGCUGCGUGCUGAGGAUCCAGAGACAAACCAGCCAUGCUCCUGGCUGAGCGGAAGGUCCUCCCGAGCCUGCACAGUCUGAACUUGCUGAGCAGCCUGAGCUGGCGAAGAUGCCCUCCUUUAGAGGAGCGUGCAGACUUGAUAAGGGAAACAGAUGGGCCAACAGAUAAUUCCCAGCAGAGGUGUGUUCAAACAUGAGCCCUGGGGACUAGGUACUAAGCAGAUGGAGGAACAGAGAUGUAAGUAACUUACCCAAGAUCACACAGCCAGCAGAUCUGCACCGAGGCAGU
Molecule: long non-coding RNA, 6003 nt
Filed under: Homo sapiens (human)
Lineage: Eukaryota; Metazoa; Chordata; Mammalia; Primates; Hominidae
Description: HSALNT0330952
Source: RNAcentral